GACGAACGCUGGCGGCGUGCUUAACACAUGCAAGUCGAACGGUGAAGGGAUCAGCUUGCUGGUUCUGGAUGAGUGGCGAACGGGUGAGUAACACGUGAGUAACCUGCCCCCUUCUUCUGGAUAACCGCAUGAAAGUGUGGCUAAUACGGGAUAUUCUGGGUCUGUCGCAUGAUGGGCCCGGGAAAGAUAUUGUUUCGGUGGGGGAUGGGCUCGCGGCCUAUCAGCUUGUUGGUGGGGUGAUGGCCUACCAAGGCGGUGACGGGUAGCCGGCCUGAGAGGGUGGACGGUCACACUGGGACUGAGACACGGCCCAGACUCCUACGGGAGGCAGCAGUGGGGAAUAUUGCACAAUGGGCGCAAGCCUGAUGCAGCGACGCCGCGUGAGGGAUGGAGGCCUUCGGGUUGUAAACCUCUUUCGCCAGUGAAGCAGGCCUGCUCCUU
Molecule: ribosomal RNA, 441 nt
Filed under: Actinomyces sp. oral taxon 169
Lineage: Bacteria; Bacillati; Actinomycetota; Actinomycetes; Actinomycetales; Actinomycetaceae
Description: bacterial SSU rRNA
Rfam family: Bacterial small subunit ribosomal RNA
Source: RNAcentral